Molecule: ribosomal RNA, 163 nt
Filed under: uncultured bacterium
Lineage: Bacteria
Description: partial 16S ribosomal RNA
Rfam family: Bacterial small subunit ribosomal RNA
Source: RNAcentral
UAGGGAAUCUUCCACAAUGGACGAAAGUCUGAUGGAGCAACGCCGCGUGAGUGAAGAAGGGUUUCGGCUCGUAAACUCUGUUGUUAAAGGAGAACAUAUCUGAGAGUAACUGUUCAGGUAUUGACGGUAUUUAACCAGAAAGCCACGGCUAACUACGUGCUAG